RNAcentral lists this unclassified non-coding RNA (283 nucleotides) under uncultured Saccharomycetales. Its description in RNAcentral is "sequence contains ITS2". The stretch from base 1 to 52 matches the Rfam family "5.8S ribosomal RNA", at positions 103 to 154 of the family's 154-position model. The record is from RNAcentral. Lineage: Eukaryota; Fungi; Ascomycota; Saccharomycetes.
AACGCACAUUGCGCCCUCUGGUAUUCCGGAGGGCAUGCCUGUUUGAGCGUCAUUUCUCUCUCAAAACUUCGGUUUUGGUAUUGAGUGAUACUCUCUUCUGGGUUAACUUGAAAUAGUGAAUUUGGCAAGAGUGUGCUUUUGUGGCCUCUUGACUGAGAUAAUGUAUUAGGUUCUACCAACUCGUUAUAGCAGUUUGAGAAAGUCCUCUGGCAUAUAUAGCUCGGCCUAACAACCAUUCUAAAAGUUUGACCUCAAAUCAGGUAGGAUUACCCGCUGAACUUAA